AAUGGCUCAUUAAAUCAGUUAUCGUUUAUUUGAUAGUACCUUACUACUUGGAUAACCGUGGUAAUUCUAGAGCUAAUACAUGCUAAAAACCCCAACUUCGGGAGGGGUGUAUUUAUUAGAUAAAAAACCAAUGCCCUUCGGGGCUCCUUGGUGAUUCAUGAUAACUUCUCAGAUCGCAUGGCUUUACGCCGGCGACGGUUCAUUCAAAUUUCUGCCCUAUCAACUUUCGAUGGUAAGGUAUUGGCUUACCAUGGUUUCAACGGGUAACGGGGAAUUAGGGUUCGAUUCCGGAGAGGGAGCCUGAGAAACGGCUACCACAUCCAAGGAAGGCAGCAGGCGCGCAAAUUACCCAAUUCCGAUACGGAGAGGUAGUGACAAUAAAUACUGAUACAGGGCUCUUUUGGGUCUUGUAAUUGGAAUGAGUACAAUUUAAACCUCUUAACGAGGAACAAUUGGAGGGCAAGUCUGGUGCCAGCAGCCGCGGUAAUUCCAGCUCCAAUAGCGUAUAUUAAAGUUGUUGCAGUUAAAAAGCUCGUAGUUGAACCUUUGGCCUGGCUGGCAGGUCCGCCUCACCGCGUGCACUUGUCCGGCCGGGCCUUUUCUUCUGGAGAACCGCAUGCCCUUCACUGGGUGUGUUGGGGACCAGGACUUUUACUUUGAAAAAAUUAGAGUGUUCAAAGCAGGCCUUUGCUCGAAUACGUUAGCAUGGAAUAAUAAAAUAGGACGUGCGGUCCUAUUUUGUUGGUUUCUAGGACCGCCGUAAUGAUUAAUAGGGACAGUCGGGGGCAUCAGUAUUCAAUUGUCAGAGGUGAAAUUCUUGGAUUUAUUGAAGACUAACUACUGCGAAAGCAUUUGCCAAGGAUGUUUUCAUUAAUCAGUGAACGAAAGUUAGGGGAUCGAAGACGAUCAGAUACCGUCGUAGUCUUAACCAUAAACUAUGCCGACUAGGGAUCGGGCGGUGUUUCUAUUGUGACCCGCUCGGCACCUUACGAGAAAUCAAA
Molecule: ribosomal RNA, 1001 nt
Filed under: Karstenula lancangensis
Lineage: Eukaryota; Fungi; Ascomycota; Dothideomycetes; Pleosporales; Didymosphaeriaceae
Description: SSU rRNA
Rfam family: Eukaryotic small subunit ribosomal RNA
Source: RNAcentral